UACGAAGGGAGCUAGCGUUGUUCGGAAUCACUGGGCGUAAAGCGCACGUAGGCGGAUGUGUCAGUCAGGGGUGAAAUCCCGGAGCUCAACUUCGGAACUGCCUUUGAUACAGCACGUCUUGAGUCCGAUAGAGGUGGGUGGAAUUCCUAGUGUAGAGGUGAAAUUCGUAGAUAUUAGGAAGAACACCGGUGGCGAAAGCGGCCACCUGGACUGCACCUGACGCUGAAACGCGAAAGCUAGGGGAGCGAACGGG
This 253-nucleotide ribosomal RNA is filed under the name uncultured bacterium. Its description in RNAcentral is "partial 16S ribosomal RNA". It matches the Rfam family "Bacterial small subunit ribosomal RNA", at positions 524 to 776 of the family's 1533-position model. The record is from RNAcentral.